UACAGAGGGUGCGAGCGUUGUCCGGAAUCACUGGGCGUAAAGGGCGCGUAGGUGGCGACCCAAGUCCGUGGUGAAAGCUCGUCGCUUAACGACGAGUCGGCCACGGAGACUGGGUGGCUCGAGCACUGUAGGGGCAGAUGGAAUUCCGGGUGUAGCGGUGGAAUGCGUAGAGAUCCGGAAGAACACCAGUGGCGAAGGCGGUCUGCUGGGCAGUUGCUGACACUGAGGCGCGACAGCGUGGGGAGCGAACAGG
RNAcentral lists this ribosomal RNA (253 nucleotides) under uncultured bacterium. Its description in RNAcentral is "partial 16S ribosomal RNA". It matches the Rfam family "Bacterial small subunit ribosomal RNA", at positions 524 to 776 of the family's 1533-position model. The record is from RNAcentral.